GGGACCUGUUAUAACCAGAUGACUUCCAGAGGGUUUGGGCCAUCAGAACAACUCUACACAUGAUUCUAAUAUGUCACAAAGAUGCUAUUUUUCAUGGUCAUUUCAGGUUUAGAAGAAUUAACUGUUAAACACUUCUGUUGCUUGUCUUCCAGGUGAAAUCAUCAGUCAGACCCAUUGCCUUAAAGCUCAGAAAACAUAAAAAACUCACCCCCACCAGAGACUUCCUUGGUGGUCCAGUGGUUAAGAAAUCUGCCUUGCAAUGCAGGGGACAUGGGUUCUAUCACUGGUUGGGAAACAAAGAUCCCACAUGCCUUGAAGCAACUAAGUCCAUGUAGCCCGUGAACCACAACGCCAUGACGAAAGAUCCUAAGACCCGACACAGCCAAAUAAAUCAUUUUUUUUUAAUGCACCCCUGCUGAAAGAUCAUCGUUUGCUGCCAAGUGGCCCAAUAUGAACACACAGACUGGAGGUCUUGAGGGGGAAGGGGACUUUGAGAGGCUCUUCAGACCAGAAUUCUGAAAGCUUGCCCAGACUGAGUCAACCACGUCACUCUCCUAAAUCAUACGGAUUUCCUUAUGAGUGUUUCCUCUCUAAAGCAAGACAGAAAGGACAGCCAUGCGCACGCGCUCAUGACCCUCAGCUGUUUCCACGGCCGGUGACAGGAACGACUGUGGCCUGGAAUGGCUCCCAAGCAGGCUUCCACGCCAGCAGUGAUACGUCACCAGUUUUCUUCUGGGUGAUCUGUAUAUAUCACCAGAAGGAAGGAUGGACGCUGCCCUGACAAGAACACCAAGAACAUUAACAGUGCUGCUUUCUUCUGCAGGUGAGUGGCUGUCAGGAACA
Molecule: long non-coding RNA, 843 nt
Organism: Bos indicus x Bos taurus (hybrid cattle)
Lineage: Eukaryota; Metazoa; Chordata; Mammalia; Artiodactyla; Bovidae
Source: Ensembl